Molecule: long non-coding RNA, 772 nt
Filed under: Struthio camelus australis
Lineage: Eukaryota; Metazoa; Chordata; Aves; Struthioniformes; Struthionidae
Description: lncRNA (ENSSCUG00000006859.1)
Source: RNAcentral
GUUAACGGAGACAUCCCAAAGGUCCUGGCAGCACUCGAGGACAAUACUGUGCUCCCCCCGGAGGAGUGGGGAAGCCUGGAGGACCGGCAGAAGGAGUGGUGCAGGAACGUGCUGAGGGGCAGCUGCGAGUCCCUGAUCUCGCUAGACUAUGCCAUUUCCAAGCCUGAUGUUCUGUCUCGGCUCGAGCGAGAAGAGCCAUGUCCAAGGGAGCGACCGGGCCAGGAGGGGAGCGAGAGCUCUGCGGACCCCAGCGCAGAGCCUCUGAGCUGCAGCCUGGAAGUCUCUCUGCAGAUCAAACAGGAGGAAGAGCAGGUCAAGGAGGACCAGCAGGAUGUGGAAGAAAAAGGAGACGCUCAGGAGACGCCAGCAGGUGGGUGAUGAGCCCAGGUGGCCCUGAACACCGCAGAGGAGCUCGAAAGCAGGAGGGCAAGGAAGGCUCUGUAUUGCUACCGCACCGUCAGCUCUGGCGAGCGAGAUCCCACAGCCUCCAUCGCUGUUCCCUGUCGGACCGGGGCCGUGACCGGCGGCUCUGCGUUCCCGCAGGGCAGCUCCUCGCUGGGGCAGGGCUCUCGGACCGGCUGCAGCGCUGGCUGGAGGGGACGGACAGGAACCAGGUCACCUCUUAGCAGUCAGGGCCAGCUGUGAACAGAGCUAAGCUGAGCGGGGUCUCCCAGUGCUGCCCAGAAGAGAGGGGCGCGCAACCCUGCACAGCUGCUCUUCUCCCCCACUCUCCCACGCUCGCGGCUGUGCCGUCGCCGCUCCCGCCGCCCCU